RNAcentral lists this long non-coding RNA (720 nucleotides) under Anas platyrhynchos platyrhynchos (common mallard). RNAcentral's name for it is "lncRNA (ENSAPLG00000024846.1)". Lineage: Eukaryota; Metazoa; Chordata; Aves; Anseriformes; Anatidae. The record is from RNAcentral.
GCAUGCUUUAAUGGAAAAAUACUAAAAUGACAAACUCUAAUUGUGCACUGAUAGUAAAUUUGACCAGGGUUUUGUUGUUUUCAUAGCCCUGCCUCUCCAAAGGAAUUCAGGAGACACCCCCUUACCCCCUCUUCCAGCCUGCUCUAAAAACAGCAUGUUGUGCUUGGCAGCCUGGAGGGAGGAUGAGGGAUGCUUUCUGCUGAAAGAACUGACUGAUUCACCCUGUCUCUGAAAACCAUGUCCAGUUUUCAAUGUCCUAUCAAAGUCUAUAUUCCUACAGAAAUCAGUAUGCUGCCUCUGUAGUCUCGGUUGUGAAUUCCAUUGGAGCAUGCAUCCCCGUGAGGCAAAUCCCUCCUAACAAACCCUUCUAUGAAGCUUUGUCAGUGACUGCCAGCCUAAGAAAGAAGAAGAAGAUGAAAACGUUCCUUCCAAUAAUACGUGCAAACAAGCAAACAAAACCACUCAAGGCUGCUUUGAGAUUGAACUCUUGGAGCUACUUUAUGUAAAAUUUCCUGUUCAGUGUGUUUUGAAAUGAAUGUCCCAAUUCUUCAGGGUAUGAACCAUACUAUCUCUGUUCUAUUUGUAAUGUAAGCUGUAUAAAAUAUAUCCCAUUUUUGUAAAAGUUGGAAAAUAAUGUAAUAACUACCUGUAUCUAUCUACAUCUAUGUCUCUGCCUGAAAGCCCAAUAAAUACAACUGUUAUCAUAUCUACUGCCUUGUU